RNAcentral lists this ribosomal RNA (861 nucleotides) under uncultured Cenococcum. Its description in RNAcentral is "eukaryotic LSU rRNA". The stretch from base 244 to 861 matches the Rfam family "Eukaryotic large subunit ribosomal RNA", at positions 1 to 634 of the family's 3401-position model. The record is from RNAcentral. Lineage: Eukaryota; Fungi; Ascomycota; Dothideomycetes; Gloniales; Gloniaceae.
GUAGUGUGAAUUGCAGAAUUCAGUGAAUCAUCGAAUCUUUGAACGCACAUUGCGCCCCUUGGUAUCCCGAGGGGCAUGCCUGUUCGAGCGUCAUUUCACCACUCAAGCCUGGCUUGGUGUUGGGCGACGUCCCUUAGGGACGCGCCUCGAAACGCUCGGCGGCGUGGCACCGGCUUUAGGCGUAGCAGAAUCUUUCGCUUUGAAAGUCGGGGCCCCGUCUGCCGGAAGACCUACUCGCAAGGUUGACCUCGGAUCAGGCAGGGAUACCCGCUGAACUUAAGCAUAUCAAUAAGCGGAGGAAAAGAAACCAACAGGGAUUGCCUCAGUAACGGCGAGUGAAGCGGCAACAGCUCAAAUUUGAAAUCUGGCUCUUUUAGGGUCCGAGUUGUAAUUUGUAGAGGAUGCUUCGGCGGCGGCUCCGGUCUAAGUUCCUUGGAACAGGACGUCAUAGAGGGUGAGAAUCCCGUAUGUGAUCGGUUGCCUUUGCCAUGUGAAGCUCCUUCGACGAGUCGAGUUGUUUGGGAAUGCAGCUCUAAAUGGGAGGUAAAUUUCUUCUAAAGCUAAAUACUGGCCAGAGACCGAUAGCGCACAAGUAGAGUGAUCGAAAGAUGAAAAGCACUUUGGAAAGAGAGUCAAAAAGUACGUGAAAUUGUUGAAAGGGAAGCGCUUGCAACCAGACCUGCCUGCAGUUGCUCAUCCGGGCUUUCGCCCGGUGCACUCUUCUGCUGUCAGGCCAGCAUCAGUUCGGGCGGUCGGAUAAAGGCUUCGGGAAUGUAGCUCCUCUCGAGGAGUGUUAUAGCCCGUUGCGAAAUGCGGCCAGCCUGAACUGAGGUCCGCGCUUCGGCUAGGAUGCUGGCGUAA